This 69-nucleotide antisense RNA is filed under the name Streptomyces bingchenggensis BCW-1. RNAcentral describes it as "ASpks TB sRNA". It matches the Rfam family "ASpks TB sRNA". Lineage: Bacteria; Bacillati; Actinomycetota; Actinomycetes; Kitasatosporales; Streptomycetaceae. The record is from Rfam by way of RNAcentral.
CUUGAUGGAGCCGAGCCGCAGGGGCAGCUCACGGUCCCGCCCGUACGUGGCAAGCAGCGCCUGCGCCUC